This 253-nucleotide ribosomal RNA is filed under the name uncultured bacterium. RNAcentral's name for it is "partial 16S ribosomal RNA". It matches the Rfam family "Bacterial small subunit ribosomal RNA", at positions 524 to 776 of the family's 1533-position model. The record is from RNAcentral.
UACGAGGGGGGCAAGCGUUGUUCGGAAUUAUUGGGCGUAAAGGGCGCGUAGGCGGUGCGGUAAGUCACCUGUGAAAACUCUGGGCUCAACUCAGAGCCUGCAGGCGAAACUGCCGUGCUUGAGUGUGGGAGAGGUGCGUGGAAUUCCCGGUGUAGCGGUGAAAUGCGUAGAUAUCGGAAGGAACACCUGUGGCGAAAGCGGCUCACUGGACCAUAACUGACGCUGAGGCGCGAAAGCUAGGGGAGCAAACAGG